Molecule: ribosomal RNA, 292 nt
Filed under: uncultured bacterium
Lineage: Bacteria
Also listed under: 1 other name
Description: partial 16S ribosomal RNA
Source: RNAcentral
GGACUACCGGGGUAUCUAAUCCUGUUUGCUCCCCACGCUUUCGUACAUGAGCGUCAGUCUUAUCCCAGGGGGCUGCCUUCGCCAUCGGUGUUCCUCCACAUCUCUACGCAUUUCACUGCUACACGUGGAAUUCCACCCCCCUCUGACAGACUCUAGCUAUGCAGUCACAAAUGCAGUUCCCAGGUUAGGCCCGGGGAUUUCACACCUGUCUUACAUAGCCGCCUGCGUACGCUUUACGCCCAGUAAUUCCGAUUAACGCUUGCACCCUACGUAUUACCGCGGCUGCUGGCAC